Molecule: long non-coding RNA, 749 nt
Organism: Populus nigra (black poplar)
Lineage: Eukaryota; Viridiplantae; Streptophyta; Magnoliopsida; Malpighiales; Salicaceae
Exons: 2
Source: RefSeq, a predicted model, not a curated record
GUCAAGGUUGUCAAAAUCACAAUUCAACUCGUAAAAUCGUACGUUUUUACGAGUUGAUAUAGGCUUUACGUGCUAAAUCGCUUGUAAAACUCGAAAAUGGGUAAAAUCAAGUCAAAAUUGGGUAAAAUUAUUAAAAUCGGGUGAAUUCAUGUAAAAUCACGAUUUCACCACCGAUUUAACGAUUUUACCCACAGGAAAAAAAGGCCAUGUAUCUGCCAGAUGUCGACCGCCUAUUGGCUUUAACAAAGCAAAUGCAAUGUUUCUCUUCAGUCUUCUUCGCAUUUCAGUUCAUCAUUCAUGUUCAAAACCAAAAAAAUCCCUAAAUUGAAAUCCUAAAAUUCCAGUCGUCCCUAAACUGAGGAUUCCUCAGUGACUCAAUCUCUAUCUCUUUCUCUCAGCCGUCCACGAUUCCAGUAUUCCACGAUCACCGUCCACUGGUACUUCACAACAGCCCUCGUCUCUCAUCGACGAUGUCCUUUUCACCAGCCACCGUGAGAACUAGAGUCCACCCAACGACAACGGCGUCUCCCCAGUCUCCACCAAGCUCCAAGUUUGACUGCAAUAUUGAUCUCCUCAGUGCCCACUGCUCAGAACAGAAAUAAGAGUUUCUUACCAUGUUCAUUUCUUACCUUGUUUGUAAUCUGUCGUGACUGUUGUUUAGGACCAUUAGGUGCUUUAAUCUUUACAGUUUAAUGAUGUUAAAGAUUGAGAUUUUGAUUCAAAGUUUCUGUGACUAUCUAUUAUUGAGA